AGCGUAGGCGGAUAGUUCAGUCAGAGGUGAAAGACGGUCGCUCAACGAUUGCAGUGCCAUUGAUACUGGUAGACUUGAGUGUGAUUGAGGUAGCUGGAAUGGAUAGUGUAGCGGUGAAAUGCAUAGAUAUUAUCCAGAACACCGAUUGCGAAGGCAGGUUACUAAGUCAUAACUGACGCUGAGGCACGAAAGUGUGGGGAUCAAACAGGAUUAGAUACCCCAGUA
This 225-nucleotide ribosomal RNA is filed under the name uncultured Flectobacillus sp. RNAcentral's name for it is "partial 16S ribosomal RNA". It matches the Rfam family "Bacterial small subunit ribosomal RNA", at positions 568 to 792 of the family's 1533-position model. The record is from RNAcentral. Lineage: Bacteria; Pseudomonadati; Bacteroidota; Cytophagia; Cytophagales; Flectobacillaceae.